RNAcentral lists this long non-coding RNA (2167 nucleotides) under Trifolium pratense (red clover). RNAcentral describes it as "long non-coding RNA (TPRA_LNC001938)". Lineage: Eukaryota; Viridiplantae; Streptophyta; Magnoliopsida; Fabales; Fabaceae. The record is from RNAcentral.
GAAAGAAAAUCUGCAAAUGCAAAUGUGAUAUGUCUGAAUUUUUUGACCAUGGUGAUAUCUUGAAAUUAAAAGAGAAGAAGACAAUAUAAAUAGUAUUUUUGAUGCAUCAUCUUAAAUUACAAAACUAACAAAGCCCAUGAAAUUAAAAAGGUAAAAGAAAAUAUAAUUAUUAGGUGAUUACGGUAAUUAAAUAACAACUCGUAAAAUAUUCUAACGGUUCAUUUGUGUAUUCUCUUAUCAUUGACAUACACAAAUGCUUUUAUGACACCUCCUUCUUGCAGGAUAAUGACAAUUUGGACAAUCACGAUCACGAAUACAGGGUCCAGAAGCUGUAAUGUAAAAAGCGAAAAAAGAAUUAAUGUUACUAAAAUGAGAUAAAUAUUGUGUGUGAAGUAAAGAAUGAAAUUUCAAAAGGUGAUAAGAAAGGCUUACGCUGAAAAUAUUGCGUUGAAACAAGAAAUUGGGAAAGAAGGAUAAUUAUAACAUAAACAAACUUAAAAAAUUUAUCCAUAUUUUCCACCAUUUGCAUGAAAAUUUAUCACUUUUUGAUUUAUAAAGCUCAUAAUCUCCUUACAUCAAUUAAAUAGUUUUUAACACUUAUCAAAUUGUUAAAAGACUUCCUAAAAUAGAUAUAAUUAUUGUAUGUCUCUUAAGAACACCAAUGUCUUAAUUUGCCCCUUUAGCACCUCUCUAGUAAGGAGAUCACAUAAAAAUUUAAUAAUCACAAUUAGUCUUUUUUUUUUUUUAACAAAUUUCAUUAUUUUAUAACCUUUCAUAAUAGAAAAGGAAAAAUUACAAAAUAAAAAUAAUAUUUUUUGUGACACUUUAAACCCCAUAGAUAUAAUUGAAAGUGCUUGACCAAAUGAGGGAGGGGAGAUUUGAAUUGUGUUAACCGAUUUCAAAUUUUAUUUUAGUUUGGUAGAUCUUUUCUUUCUUUCUUAUAAAUCGAAUAAAGAAAUAGGUUCUUUACCAAAACAUUUAAAUGAAGUUAGAUAUAUAAAUUAGAAUGGGUCAUGAUCAAAUGACACCAACUAAUUUAAAUAUAUUAAUUAUACGAUGAACUUAAAAAAAAUUAAAAAGUUGCUUGUGCUUUAUUACAAAAAAUAGAGCACUAUAUAUUUAUAAUAACUAAGUUAAACUGUUUUAUGCCUAAAUUUUUUUUAAUGAUAAAUUGUUAAUCGUUGGUAUAUUAUAUAGGCUUAAAUGCAUUUUUUUUCCCCUUAUUUUCAAAAAAAUGAAGUUUUGGUCCCCUAUUUUAAAAACCAACUUUUUAGUCCCCCUAUUUUUAUUUUUUUUGAGUUUUGAUCCCCCAUCCUAUUUUGGGGUUAAUUUUGUUGAUGUGGCCUUGUAACUAAUGAUGUGGCAACAUUCAUGUGGAAAAAUUUAAUAUCCAUGUCAUUAUUAUAUAUUUUUAAAUUCAAUAAAACUUUAUUUUAAAAAUUAUUUUAAUUGUUAGAAUUAUAUAUUCAACUGAAAUAAUCUAUAUAUAUAAUUCCUAGAUAGUUCUCCUACUAUCCAUCUUAACCCUAAUCCACAUCACCCACUUACAUCCAAUUAAAUCACACAAUAAUGCCACAUCACCCACUUACAUCCAAUUAAAUCACACNNNNNNNNNNNNNNNNNNNNNNNNNNNNNNNNNNNNNNNNNNNNNNNNNNNNNNNNNNNNNNNNNNNNNNNNNNNNNNNNNUUUUUUUUUUGAUAAGCUCUAACGGUUCAUUUGUGUAUUCUCUUAUCAUUGACAUACACAAAUGCUUUUAUGACACCUCCUUCUUGCAGGAUAUAUAAUGACAAUUUGGACAAUCACGAUCACGAAUACAGGGUUUAGAAGCUGUAAUGUAAAAAGCGAAAAAAUAAUUAAUGUUACUAAAAUGAGAUAAAUAUUGUGUGCGAAGUAAAGAAUGAAAUUUCAAAAGGUGAUAAGAAAGGCUUACGCUGAAAAUAUUGCAUUGAAACAAGAAAUUGGGAAAGAAGGAUAAUUAUAACAUAAACAAACUUAAAAAAUUUAUCCAUAUUUUCCACCAUUUGCAUGAAAUUUUAUCACUUUUUGAUUUAUAAAGCUCAUAAUCUCCUUACAUCAAUUAAAUAGUUUUUAACACUUAUCAAAUUGUUAAAAGACUUCCUAAAAUAGAUAUAAUUAUUGUAUGUCUCUUAAGAACACCAAUGUCUU